CUCAAGAUCAGCACACUGUGUU
This 22-nucleotide microRNA is filed under the name Equus caballus (horse). RNAcentral's name for it is "eca-miR-8974". The record is from miRBase by way of RNAcentral. Lineage: Eukaryota; Metazoa; Chordata; Mammalia; Perissodactyla; Equidae.